CCGCGCUAGACGGGGAGGUAGCGGUGCCCUGUAACCUGCAAUCCGCUAUAGCGGGGUUGAAUUCCUUGUUAGAGGUCCUGUCGAUGUAAGGUCUGACGCUUACACGUGGUGUUGACGGCCGGGUCCUCCGCAAUGGAUGCUCAUGAACCUGGUCAGGUCCGGAAGGAAGCAGCCAUAAGUGAGAUUUUUCAUGUGCCGGAGGGCAGCCUAGCCAGAGCUAACGAUAAGCGUUCCGCUUGGAUCGCAGCGAUCAAUAACAGGUGCGCGG
RNAcentral lists this signal recognition particle RNA (268 nucleotides) under Paenibacillus contaminans. RNAcentral describes it as "Bacterial large signal recognition particle RNA". It matches the Rfam family "Bacterial large signal recognition particle RNA". From Rfam's summary of the family: The signal recognition particle (SRP) is a universally conserved ribonucleoprotein involved in the co-translational targeting of proteins to membranes. Archaeal SRP consists of a 7S RNA and homologues of the eukaryotic SRP19 and SRP54 proteins. Lineage: Bacteria; Bacillati; Bacillota; Bacilli; Caryophanales; Paenibacillaceae. The record is from Rfam by way of RNAcentral.